CCUGCGUAAGCCGAAAAGCAGAUUAUUAAAAGAGUAGGCA
Non-coding RNA from Sphingobacteriales bacterium 41-5, 40 nucleotides. The record is from Rfam. NCBI's taxonomy places the organism in Bacteria, Pseudomonadati, Bacteroidota, Sphingobacteriia, Sphingobacteriales.